UGGCUCAGUGGGUUAAGCACUCGGCUGCUAACUGAAAGAUCAGUGGUUCAAACCCACU
RNAcentral lists this transfer RNA (58 nucleotides) under Loxodonta africana (African savanna elephant). It matches the Rfam family "tRNA", at positions 8 to 63 of the family's 71-position model. From Rfam's summary of the family: Transfer RNA (tRNA) molecules are approximately 80 nucleotides in length. Their secondary structure includes four short double-helical elements and three loops (D, anti-codon, and T loops). The record is from Rfam by way of RNAcentral. Lineage: Eukaryota; Metazoa; Chordata; Mammalia; Proboscidea; Elephantidae.